AGCGAACGCUGGCGGCAGGCUUAACACAUGCAAGUCGAGCGGGCAUCUUCGGAUGUCAGCGGCAGACGGGUGAGUAACACGUGGGAACGUACCCUUCGGUUCGGAACAACUCUGGGAAACUGGAGCUAAUACCGGAUACGCCCUUAUGGGGAAAGGUUUACUGCCGAAGGAUCGGCCCGCGUCCGAUUAGCUAGUUGGUGGGGUAACGGCCUACCAAGGCGACGAUCAGUAGCUGGUCUGAGAGGAUGAUCAGCCACACUGGGACUGAGACACGGCCCAGACUCCUACGGGAGGCAGCAGUGGGGAAUAUUGGACAAUGGGCGCAAGCCUGAUCCAGCCAUGCCGCGUGAGUGAUGAAGGCCUUAGGGUUGUAAAGCUCUUUUGUCCGGGACGAUAAUGACGGUACCGGAAGAAUAAGCCCCGGCUAACUUCGUG
RNAcentral lists this ribosomal RNA (435 nucleotides) under uncultured bacterium. Its description in RNAcentral is "partial 16S ribosomal RNA". It matches the Rfam family "Bacterial small subunit ribosomal RNA", at positions 29 to 507 of the family's 1533-position model. The record is from RNAcentral.